Molecule: non-coding RNA, 27 nt
Filed under: Bombyx mori (domestic silkworm)
Lineage: Eukaryota; Metazoa; Arthropoda; Insecta; Lepidoptera; Bombycidae
Source: RNAcentral
UUACGAACACGAAAUUACAGUUUUGUA